GAGCUAUUUAUGAGUUAGUUAUGUAAAUUCAUGCCUUAAAUUUUUAACUAUUGAAAAUAUGAAUUGACAUUUCUACUAACUCAAAGGAUGUAUCGCAGACACAAUGUACACAAUGUGAUAGAAGAAUAACCCAUUUAUUGAUUUAUAGUCAAAAUUACAAAUUUAUCUUUAGAUUUGUACAGAAAUGUAUCAGCCAAUAUGGCAUCUAGGGCACACAUCUAACAGUGACAAUCCAG
This 236-nucleotide long non-coding RNA is filed under the name Elaeis guineensis (African oil palm). RNAcentral describes it as "long non-coding RNA (EGUI_LNC048905)". The record is from RNAcentral. Lineage: Eukaryota; Viridiplantae; Streptophyta; Magnoliopsida; Arecales; Arecaceae.